CUUCCAAAAUUUGCAAAUUUUGUAUACUUUUGUAUUGCAAUUUUCGCAUGCAAUACAAAAGUAUACAAAAUUUGCAAGGCUAUAUUUUUCGU
This 92-nucleotide microRNA precursor is filed under the name Paramuricea clavata. Lineage: Eukaryota; Metazoa; Cnidaria; Anthozoa; Malacalcyonacea; Plexauridae. The record is from RNAcentral.